Non-coding RNA from Schistosoma mattheei, 78 nucleotides. Lineage: Eukaryota; Metazoa; Platyhelminthes; Trematoda; Strigeidida; Schistosomatidae. The record is from Rfam.
AGCUUUCUAAAUCCGUACCGAGAUUUCAUCAUGCAUUAAUCCAUCGGGACUGAUGAAACGUCCAAGAUAAGUGAAGUA